UGCGAGCAAAGAUUCCGUAUGGUGCUGAAAAUCAAAUGAUAAUUAAAUUAAUUGAAAAUAAAAUUAAACAUAAUAUUAAAUAAAAUAAUAAAUUAACAUUAUGCCAUCCGUAGGUCAAUUAAUAACCGCCGAUAUGCGGCCAUUAGUGUUAACUUUAGUUCUACAGUUUUGAAUACCACAAUAAAGCCAUCGUGUCACUUGCACGAUAAUUUUUGCAUGGCACCAAUGUGGAGUCACCGGACGUCAUAAUAGUGUUAAUACAAUUAAAAUAAUCAUUUGCAAUUGAAUGAAAUAAUAAUAACGUAGUAUGGUGUUGAGAAUCAAAUUUUCAACUUCACGUGAUCUGCUAUCAAGAAUGCGUAUCCUUGGUGGUGGUGCUUCAGGUGCGCUAGUAAUGCUAAUCAUUUCCGGAUCUCUGAUUGGCAUCAUCCCGAAGGUUAUGUUCUUGGAUGACAUGUCUACCACUGUGUUUGAGUAGAUGCCAGUCUGAAAACCGUCACGCUGCCAUGAUGAACAGAAAGUUUGAAAGAUGAACAAGAAAAUGUUUGAUACACGAAGCUAACUAUUAUUUCGUGAGAUUUAAAACAAACAUGUUUUUUUUUUUUUUUUUCUU
Polistes dominula (European paper wasp) is the source of this 613-nucleotide long non-coding RNA. NCBI's taxonomy places the organism in Eukaryota, Metazoa, Arthropoda, Insecta, Hymenoptera, Vespidae. The record is from RefSeq and is a predicted model, not a curated record.